UCUGCCCAUCAGACGGGGACAACGAUUGGAAACGAUCGCUAAUACCGGAUAGGACGAAAGUUUAAAGGUGCUUCUGGCACCGCUGAUGGAUGAGCCUGCGGCGCAUUAGCUAGUUGGUAGGGUAAAGGCCUACCAAAGCGACGAUGCGUAGCCGACCUGAGAGGGUGAACGGCCACACUGGGACUGAGACACGGCCCAGACUCCUACGGGAGGCAGCAGUAGGGAAUCUUCGGCAAUGGGCGAAAGCCUGACCGAGCAACGCCGCGUGAAUGAUGAAGGCCUUCGGGUUGUAAAAUUCUGUUAUAAGGGAAGAACGACUUUAGUAGGAAAUGGCUAGAGUGUGACGGUACCUUAUGAGAAAGCCACGGCUAACUACGUGCCAGCAGCCGCGGUAAUACGUAGGUGGCGAGCGUUAUCCGGAAUUAUUGGGCGUAAAGAGCGCGCAGGUGGUUGAUUAAGUCUGAUGUGAAAGCCCACGGCUUAACCGUGGAGGGUCAUUGGAAACUGGUCGACUUGAGUGCAGAAGAGGGAAGUGGAAUUCCAUGUGUAGCGGUGAAAUGCGUAAAGAUAUGGAGGAACACCAGUGGCGAAGGCGGCUUCCUGGUCUGUAACUGACACUGAGGCGCGAAAGCGUGGGGAGCAAACAGGAUUAAAUACCCUGGUAGUCCACGCCGUAAACGAUGAGUGCUA
This 690-nucleotide ribosomal RNA is filed under the name uncultured bacterium. RNAcentral describes it as "bacterial SSU rRNA". It matches the Rfam family "Bacterial small subunit ribosomal RNA", at positions 125 to 818 of the family's 1533-position model. The record is from RNAcentral.